UUCUGUAGCAAUACAGGGUGUGGGCGCGUGGCGAACGGGUGCGUAACACGUGGAUAACCUUCCUUGAGGUGGGGAAUAACCCAGUGAAAAUUGGGCUAAUACCGCAUAACAUCGCGAUGGCACAUGCUGUUGCGAUCAAAGGCGCAAGUCGCCACAAGAGGGAUCCGCGGCCGAUUAGCUUGUUGGCGAGGUAAUGGCUCACCAAGGCAAUGAUCGGUAGCCGGACUGAGAGGUUGGCCGGCCACACUGGAACUGAGACACGGUCCAGACUCCUACGGGAGGCGGCAGUGGGGAAUCUUGCACAAUGGACGAAAGUCUGAUGCAGCAACGCCGCGUGGGGGAUGAAGCUUCUCGGAGUGUAAACCCCUUUCGACCCGGAAGAAUGCCCGCAAGGGUAUGACGGUACGGGUAUAAGAAGCCCCGGCUAACUACGUGCCAGCAGCCGCGGUAAUACGUAGGGGGCCAGCGUUGCUCGGAAUUACUGGGCGUAAAGGGUCCGUAGGCGGUGUAGCAAGUCGAUAGUGAAAUCUCUGGGCUUAACCCAGAGGCUGCUAACGAAACUGCUGUGCUAGAGUGUGAGAGAGGCGAGUGGAAUUACGGGUGUAGCGGUGAAAUGCGUAGAUAUCCGUAGGAACAUCCGAGGCGAAGGCGGCUCGCUGGAUCACAACUGACGCUGAGGGACGAAAGCUAGGGGAGCAAACAGGAUUAGAUACCCUGGUAGUCCUAGCCCUAAACCAUCAGGACUUGGGGUUUGCCCUGUACGGGGCAAGUCCCGUAGCUAACGCGUUAAGUCCUGCGCCUGGGGAGUACGGUCGCAAGGCUG
Molecule: ribosomal RNA, 823 nt
Filed under: uncultured Actinomycetes bacterium
Lineage: Bacteria; Bacillati; Actinomycetota; Actinomycetes
Description: bacterial SSU rRNA
Rfam family: Bacterial small subunit ribosomal RNA
Source: RNAcentral